This 232-nucleotide ribosomal RNA is filed under the name uncultured bacterium. Its description in RNAcentral is "partial 16S ribosomal RNA". It matches the Rfam family "Bacterial small subunit ribosomal RNA", at positions 99 to 334 of the family's 1533-position model. The record is from RNAcentral.
CGGACGGGUGAGUAAUGUCUGGGAAACUGCCCGAUGGAGGGGGAUAACUACUGGAAACGGUAGCUAAUACCGCAUAACGUCGCAAGACCAAAGAGGGGGACCUUCGGGCCUCUUGCCAUCGGAUGUGCCCAGAUGGGAUUAGCUAGUAGGUGAGGUAACGGCUUACCUAGGCGACGAUCCCUAGCUGGUCUGAGAGGAUGAUCAGCCACACUGGGACUGAGACACGGCCCAG